RNAcentral lists this small RNA (1942 nucleotides) under uncultured Bradyrhizobium sp. RNAcentral's name for it is "bacterial LSU rRNA". The stretch from base 785 to 1942 matches the Rfam family "Bacterial large subunit ribosomal RNA", at positions 1 to 1117 of the family's 2925-position model. Lineage: Bacteria; Pseudomonadati; Pseudomonadota; Alphaproteobacteria; Hyphomicrobiales; Nitrobacteraceae. The record is from RNAcentral.
UGCGGCUGGAUCACCUCCUUUCUAAGGAUGAUCCUUCAGCGAGCUCACGCUCACUAUCGGAUCGUUUUAGAAACAUCAGUGGCCAACAGAUCGCCAGAUCGUUGAGCUGCAUUGGCGGGAUUUCGCCGUCUUCGUUUCUCUUUCUUCGCGGACGAACACGCGCUGGGCCUGCAUCAAGCAGGAUCCCACGGUCCCUGACGGGAUAUGCGUUAGGGGCUUGUAGCUCAGUUGGUUAGAGCGCGCGCUUGAUAAGCGUGAGGUCGGAAGUUCAAGUCUUCCCAGGCCCACCACUUUCAUCGAGUGAGCAUUCGUCUUCUGGUUACGGGGCCAUAGCUCAGCUGGGAGAGCGCGUGCUUUGCAAGCAUGAGGUCGUCGGUUCGAUCCCGUCUGGCUCCACCAGAUGGUUUGAUCAUCGAGAUCUUGCACCGUCGUCCGCGAAACAUCACUUCGCAUCCUGCUAGUCUGGAUAGACAGCAAGAUGCGUGUUUUCUGACAUCGUAAAGAGGAGAUCGAUCCGAGUUGGGUCGUGCAGCAGAUCGUUGCGCGAAUCCUUCAUUAUCUCCGGAUCAUUUUCGGCGCUCGCUUUCAGCCGUGAGGUUGAAUGCGAGUUGUAAAAUGAUCCUUUUAGCGAAGCUUGACCGCCUCGCUAUCGGAACGAUCUUACGAAGCAAGCUGGUCUUUCUAGUCAAUGUCCGGCUGCACGUAGCAUUCAUCGAGGGUGCGCGCCGUAAGGCAAUCGUGCAGACAACAUUCUGCCGAGUGUGUGGACAUUGAUAAUGAGAGCAAUCAAGUGCCUUAAGGGUGUUCGGUGGAUGCCUUGGCGCUGAGAGGCGAUGAAGGACGUGCUACGCUGCGAUAAGCCGUGGGGAGCUGCGAAGAAGCUUUGAUCCGCGGAUUUCCGAAUGGGGAAACCCACCUUCGAUAGCCGGAACUCCAAGACCUUGUGUCUUGGUGUUCGACCAGAAAUGAUCGGGACCAUGACCCUAGAGGUUUUGGAUUUCCGGUUAUCAAGAGAAGGUAUGAGACUUCUGAAUACAUAGGAGGUUUCAAGCAAACCCAGGGAACUGAAACAUCUAAGUACCUGGAGGAAAGGACAUCAACAGAGACUCCGUUAGUAGUGGCGAGCGAACGCGGACCAGGCCAGUGAUACAUCAAAGACAAUCGGAACCAGUCAGGAAAGCUGGGCCUCAGAGGGUGAUAGCCCCGUACGAGUAAUGCGAUGAUGUAUCCACGAGUAAGGCGGGACACGUGCAAUCCUGUCUGAACACGGGGGGACCACCCUCCAAGCCUAAGUACUCCUCAGCGACCGAUAGCGAACCAGUACCGUGAGGGAAAGGUGAAAAGCACCCCGACGAGGGGAGUGAAAUAGACCUGAAACCGGACACCUACAAACAGAUGGAGCUCAAGAUUCGUUCUGGGUGACAUCGUACCUUUUGUAUUAUGGGCCAGCGACUUAAUUUAACGAGCAAGCUUAAGCCGAUAGGCGAAGGCGUAGCGAAAGCGAGUCUGAAUAGGGCGCCAAGUUCGUUGUAUUAGACCCGAAACCUAGUGAUCUAGCCAUGAGCAGGUUGAAGGUGAGGUAACACUCACUGGAGGACCGAACGGGUGCCUGUUGAAAAAGGCUCCGAUGACUUGUGGUUAGGGGUGAAAGGCCAAUCAAACUGGGAAAUAGCUGGUUCUCCGCGAAAGAUAUUUAGGUAUCGCCUCGCACGAAUGCUUCGGGGGGUAGAGCACUGGAUGGGCUAGGGGGACUUACCGUCUUACCAAACCCAACCAAACUCCGAAUACCCGAAAGCAAUAUGCGGGAGUCACACGGCGGGUGCUAACGUCCGUCGUGGAGAGGGAAACAACCCGGACCUACAGCUAAGGCCCCUAAUUCGUGGCUAAGUGGGAAAGGAUGUGGAAAUCCCAAAACAACCAGGAGGUUGGCUUAGAAGCAGCC